AGAGUUUGAUCAUGGCUCAGAACGAACGCUGGCGGCAUGCCUAACACAUGCAAGUCGAACGAGACCUUCGGGUCUAGUGGCGCACGGGUGCGUAACGCGUGGGAAUCUGCCCUUGGGUUCGGAAUAACAGCGAGAAAUUGCUGCUAAUACCGGAUGAUGACGUAAGUCCAAAGAUUUAUCGCCCAAGGAUGAGCCCGCGUAGGAUUAGCUAGUUGGUGAGGUAAAAGGGCUCACCAAGGCGACGAUCCUUAGCUGGUCUGAGAGGAUGAUCAGCCACACUGGGACUGAGACACGGCCCAGACUCCUACGGGAGGCAGCAGUGGGGAAUAUUGGACAAUGGGCGAAAGCCUGAUCCAGCAAUGCCGCGUGAGUGAUGAAGGCCUUAGGGUUGUAAAGCUCUUUUACCCGGGAUGAUAAUGACAGUACCGGGAGAAUAAGCUCCGGCUAACUCCGUG
This 455-nucleotide ribosomal RNA is filed under the name uncultured bacterium. RNAcentral describes it as "bacterial SSU rRNA". It matches the Rfam family "Bacterial small subunit ribosomal RNA", at positions 8 to 507 of the family's 1533-position model. The record is from RNAcentral.